Molecule: small RNA, 125 nt
Filed under: Arabidopsis thaliana (thale cress)
Lineage: Eukaryota; Viridiplantae; Streptophyta; Magnoliopsida; Brassicales; Brassicaceae
Description: ATSL140060
Source: RNAcentral
UUUUGGAAUAGGAGCUGGCACAGCCUUCGAAUUCAAGAAGGACGGUCAAAAGAUAGUUGGUUUCCAUGGAAGAGCUGGUGAUCUACUUCACAAAUUUGGAGUCCAUGUCGCGCCAAUAACCAAAU